Molecule: long non-coding RNA, 435 nt
Organism: Cataglyphis hispanica
Lineage: Eukaryota; Metazoa; Arthropoda; Insecta; Hymenoptera; Formicidae
Exons: 3
Source: RefSeq, a predicted model, not a curated record
GAAGAAUUGUAUGACGAUAACAAAGCCUAGAGUAACCAGGAUCAAGCCAAGAUUAAGAAGUAACAUGAGGCAACAGACACCCUUAGUAUUUGGACAGAAUGGAUUGGGUGUUGACAUAGUUUCCACAAUUAUACCACCUUUUCGUGAUGCAGUGCCAGCAAUGCGUACAUCGUGCUGGGCAAAUCCUUAUUUAGUACAAUGAUGUCAUUUGGCAAGGACAUGUGCAACGUCUUCGAUCGACAAUGCACACGACAAUACCCUUCGCCUCCGAUCAUUCCUCCGUGAUUCUUUCAAGGUUCUAGCUCUUAAGAAGAGACCGGUUGCCGUACCCUGUGUUUCAUCCGCAUUUAGGAGAGAUUAUCUUCCUCGUAUCGAUCCUUAUCCGCGGAUAAUUCCUCUUCUCCUGGAUACGCGCUGACCGAAUCUGGAUCGUCG